UCCCAGGUGGCUCAGAGGGUAAAGCAUCUGCCUGCAAUGCAGGAGACCUGGGUUCGAUCCCUAGGUUGGGAA
Molecule: transfer RNA, 72 nt
Filed under: Bos taurus (domestic cattle)
Lineage: Eukaryota; Metazoa; Chordata; Mammalia; Artiodactyla; Bovidae
Also listed under: 2 other names
Rfam family: tRNA
About the family: Transfer RNA (tRNA) molecules are approximately 80 nucleotides in length.
Source: Rfam by way of RNAcentral